UAGGGAAUCUUCCGCAAUGGGCGAAAGCCUGACGGAGCAACGCCGCGUGAGUGAUGAAGGUCUUCGGAUCGUAAAACUCUGUUAUUAGGGAAGAACAUAUGUGUAAGUAACUGUGCACAUCUUGACGGUACCUAAUCAGAAAGCCACGGCCAACUACGGGCCAUCAGUAGGGGGCAAAAGUUUAUUCCGAAUUUUUUGGGGGUAAAGCGCGCGUUGGCGGUUUUUUUAGUUUUGAUGUGAAAGCCCCCCGGCUCCACCCCUGGAGGGUCAUUGGAAACUGGAAAACUUGAGUGCAGAAGAGGAAAGNGGAAUUCCAUGUGUAUCGCGCUGAAAAGCGCAGAGAUAUGGNAAACCCCCAGUGGCGAAGGCGACUUUCUGGUCUGUAACUGACGCUGAUGUGCGAAAGCGUGGGGAUCAAACAGGAUUAGAUACCCUGGUAGUCCACGCCGUAAACGAUGAGUGCUAAGUGUUAGGGGGUUUCCGCCCCUUAGUGCUGCAGCUAACGCAUUAAGCACUCCGCCUGGGGAGUACGACCGCAAGGUUG
This 544-nucleotide ribosomal RNA is filed under the name uncultured bacterium. RNAcentral describes it as "partial 16S rRNA". It matches the Rfam family "Bacterial small subunit ribosomal RNA", at positions 355 to 896 of the family's 1533-position model. The record is from RNAcentral.